GAUACUCAGCGCAGCCUUCCAGAGCUAGUCAGACUGGAGGAGGGGACCUGGGAAGCUCUGGAGCUCCCUGGUGACAGUCUGUGGCUGAGCAUGGCCCUCCCAGCCCUGGGCCUGGACCCCUGGAGCCUCCUGGGCCUUUUCCUCUUCCAACUGCUUCAGCUGCUGCUGCCGACGACGACCGCGGGGGGAGGCGGGCAGGGGCCCAUGCCCAGGGUCAGAUACUAUGCAGGUAAGUGUCCGACGGCAGGAAGUGUGGGGAUAGCAAUAGAGAGCUGGAGGUGGGUGGAGGAAGGAGAGAGGAACAGAGGAGGGGAGGAAAUGGAUGUGGAGAAACAGGGACACAGAGAGAGAUGCCAGGGAGAAACAGAGGAUUUCGGAGAAAGAGAGACACAGCCAGAAACAGAAGUCCAAAAGGAAAGAAAAGCCACUGGAGAGCAGAUUGAGGAAAACAGGUGGCCACGGGGCCAGGGGCACGCUUCUUCCAGUUCUCCAUGUUGGGGAUGAACGUAGGGCACUUAGCUUCUUCCACCAGAAGGGCCUCCAGGAUUUUGACACUCUGCUCCUGAGUGGUGAUGGAAAUACUCUCUACGUGGGGGCUCGAGAAGCCAUUCUGGCCUUGGAUAUCCAGGAUCCAGGGGUCCCCAGGCUAAAGAACAUG
RNAcentral lists this small RNA (658 nucleotides) under Pan troglodytes (chimpanzee). RNAcentral describes it as "processed transcript". The record is from RNAcentral. Lineage: Eukaryota; Metazoa; Chordata; Mammalia; Primates; Hominidae.